This 1702-nucleotide long non-coding RNA is filed under the name Homo sapiens (human). Its description in RNAcentral is "HSALNT0229954". Lineage: Eukaryota; Metazoa; Chordata; Mammalia; Primates; Hominidae. The record is from RNAcentral.
CACCGCCAAAUCCCGGAAGCCGCCCCUGCUCUCCGGCUACUCCCGAUUGGAGGAUUUCCACUCCGACGCCACUGAUUGGGUAAAGCUCCAGGCCCCGCCCUCUCACUCGUUCUGCUUUUUGAAUGGGAGACAGGCUCAUUGAGGUGGGGCCACCUGCUGAGGGUAUUACAGCUAAUUUAAGGGGUGAGCUUGGACUUGAAAUGCACUUGCUUUCCCGUACCUGGUUUUGCUUGUAUAAGGCAUCUUAUUAGCUAAUUAAGUUUAAGAAGGAGGGCAUUUGGGCACCUUUAAAACAACUUUUUAACCGUUCUAAUAACACAGGAAAGACCCUCAUCCCAUCCUUAGCACCUCUCAUCACACGGUACCCCACUGCUCAGGACAUAACUGUGGGACUGCAGAGGAAACUGCUGGGGUUUUUGGGGAGCAUGCAGGAGGCUUCAACAGCCAAGGUAACGGUGGCUUCCCUUGGGUGUCACUUAAAAUCUUGGGGUCAGGGACAUCUUUUAUCCAGUUGGCUCAGGGAAACUAACAGACAGGAGGAUUGUAAUUUUUUUUUUCUUUUCUGAAUUUCCAAGACAUAAAGGACUAUCCAAGCAUCCCAAAAGGCAUUCAAUUAUACAUAAGGCUGAGGGCCUCCCUGCUCUGGAGAGGGAUGGCCUGGCAGCCACCAGCUGCAGUGAGCUGAGAUAGUGCCACUGCAAUGGGCCUUAAACUUGCCCUCUUGUAGACAGGCCACCUCCACACACCCGCUUCUCACAUCGCAGGCUCUAACCCUCCGGUCCAUCAAGGUGGGCUGCCUUCUUCCCAUGUCAUUAGCUCUCCACAAGCAUCUAGUUAGCUCUAAAACCUACCACAGGAUAGCAAACGUCAGACCCUCCUCCACUCUCCCGGCACUGCACGCCUUCUGGGGAGUGCUGCCAAUCCCACCUCAACUGAAGGGACAAAUCUGGGCAGGUGCCCAGUCAGAUGUUCAGUGACCUAACAGGUCCAGCAUGCCCAGGGCCUGACCCCACAGCCUAGCACCCCUCCCCCACCUGGCCUUCAAUCCAGCCUUUCUUCUCCAAUGACGGGAUGUUCACCUGUGCCACAAUCCCAUUAGUCUAGUGACGAGGCCAGGUAAAUCCCAGCUGAGUGCCUGUGACUCCACCCUCUUACUUCCCACUCAGGUGACAUUACAAGCAUAACCUUGAAUUUGAGCUAAUUUAUACAUAUUCCUCUCCUAGUAACCUGUUUGACAACAGCCCUCACAAUCCAGAGACUGGGGCAGCAGGUUCCAAAACCUCACUUUAUUCCAAUGUGAAAUGAAGACAUGAUGGUUUAAAAAUGAGAAAAAGUUCCUGAUAAGCUGUGGGGGUGCUUCACUUGCCAGCUCAUGCCCAUUCCCUCUGAAACAAGGUGUCUGUUACCCAUAAACAACUCUCUGUAAAGCCCCAGGUAGAGGUCACAGCUGGACGUGGCUCCCUCAGGCUCACAGGGUAGCAAUCUCCUCCCCCAGUCCAGGCUUCCACAGCAGGCACUUGAGGAUCUCGGAGCUUUCCUUCUCGUGGUUCUCACCAAAAAACAGGGGAGAGAGCACAGGCAGGAAAGGAUUAGCUGCCCACAGCCUACAGGCGCAGCUCAACCCACCGGCCCUGCCACAGCCCACCUGGGCCUUAUAGAUGUUGUCAAAUUCCUUCUUCUGCUACAAGCCGGACCAGAACUC